GCGUACCAGAAGACGAGCGUAGAGCACUCUAUAAGGAAGCCACCACACAAAUAAUUUAUUCCUCCUUGGCGUAAUUACACAUUUAAUCCCCAACACCGGGGAAGAAUAAAAUAUAUAUAAAAGGUUUGCAACCCGCGCACCCCACCAAAAUAAGGGAUUUGCUCUUCUUCGGCCGAAUUUUAAAAUUUAAAAUUAAAAUUGUUGGCCCCACUUUUAAAAAGCCCCACUUAAUAUUAAAUUAUCUCACAGAGGGCCCCUCUACCUUGUUUUAAUGAGAGGAAAGGCGUGUCCACCCGUCUCGCCCAAACCCCUCUUUAAUAGAAAAUUAGAGGGACGAGGAAGCACCCAAAUUCUUUUCUUUCCGAGGAGAGCCGUCUCUGGAGAAGACAGUAUGUAGGAGGAGCAGCCCGUUUCCUACUCCCACCAAUUCUAAGGGGUGUAAUAGUAAAAUUCAUAACCAAGCACGGACACCGGCCACUACCUUUCAUUAAUUCACCCCUUCCAAUUAACUGGCCGGGAAAAUUAAUUUCGGACGAAUUUAUUAACUUACUACGGUUCCAAAACUUCCCCUCCAGGCCCCAAUAAUCAUAAUGUGCCAUUAUCUUAAAUACAGCGCUCACAAAUUCAUACAAAAGGCGGCCUCUUCGCCCGCGCCGGGCCCGGCGCACCAAGCUGUACACCCCUCGUCGACCC
RNAcentral lists this ribosomal RNA (693 nucleotides) under bacterium 150907-44_N20_ML6_768. RNAcentral's name for it is "partial 16S ribosomal RNA". The record is from RNAcentral.